RNAcentral lists this unclassified non-coding RNA (3145 nucleotides) under Dimorphilus gyrociliatus. RNAcentral's name for it is "dgyrCDS9615". Lineage: Eukaryota; Metazoa; Annelida; Polychaeta; Dinophilidae. The record is from RNAcentral.
GUAUAGUAACGUAAACAAUCAUGGCGACGAGCGGGGGACCGCUGAACUUUCCGAAAUGGCUUAUAGAUGGAAAAGAAACUAUUGUCCAAACACCAGAAUGGCUAAACUUUACGAAAGAGCUAUACGAUGCAAUCGAACAGCAAGUUAAGGAGAGUCGGGUGGACAAUUUUACAGACUUAACACAAACCGAACGAUCUCUCUUUAUGGACAGAGCAUGCAAAGCUCUCGAAAAUAGUGAUUCGUUCAAGAAGAUGUAUAACAGCGUCGCCGGUUGUAUAGAUGCUUGUUUAAAUCGAGAAGUUUCCAGACAGUUGCUCGAGGACUUUCCGUUGGAUACUAAAUCUGAUUUGAUUUUAACACAGGCGCAAGACGGCGCUAUUAGUCUCCUUAGAAAGUGGCCGGAUAUGAAGUACAAGUUGCAUGUUUAUUUAAACCAUCAGUUACCGUCCAAUUUACGACUCGUUGCCUGGAGGCUUUUCUUAGAGAAUACUAAGAGUAUGCUGUUACCUUUUUCUAUAUUUAUUAAAUGGGUGUGUUCUUUUAUCCUACAACAAUGAAUCUAGAAGGAAAGGCAACGAUCCGGGUAUUCUAUUCAAAAGGAUUGAAUUGAAUAUUUUUUCAUAAAAACACCACGUAUGAAUAUAAACUAUUUCAAAUAGGGUGAUGAAGAAUAGUAAGAGGUUAGGUUAGAGAAAGGAAUAGAGAGGGGGGGUAGAUGAGAAAAAUGUUAAAAAUCAGCGAGAGUUCCUUUCCCAUUUUUUUCCACCCCUAUUCAACAAUAGAAAUAAAAGAGUAAAGGAACUUUUUAAUACGUUUUUUUACGGCAAGAACAUACAUAAUAGUUUCCUUUUUUAUACUAAAAAAAUAUACAUUAUUUUGCUAAAUUCCAUUAAUAAUAAACAGUUCGUAAGGAGUAUACUGACAUUCUAUCAACAAAUCCACGUUACGCAAUUUCUCCUCAAGAUUUAGAGAUAUCAAGAACGUGCGAACAACUAUUAAUACACGAAUCGAGUUUUAACGAAUUAAAAGGCUAUGUAGGUAAGUGAAGAGAGAGAGAUUUUAAUGAAUUCAUAAACUUUCUCUUUUAUUCUAAUAUUGCUAAUAUUCUAUUUAAAAAGUCAUGAUUUUCUUAUAUACAUAUUGUAUAUAUGUGUGUGUGAACGUAUAUCUAAGUAGAGGAAACUAUUUGAUUAAUUUAUAUACAAUAUGUAUAUAUUGUAUAUAUACACAGUAUCUAUAUUACACAGGAUAAGUUAAAAGAAGAGGUACUUGAUUAUUGAAACUCUUUUUGUUUCUUUCUCACUUGGUUUUCUUCGUAUCACAAAUUGUCUCUUGAAUUUGUUGUUGCUGACAUUUUAAAACGGCACAAAUGUAGUAUAAUUAGUGGCAUUUUAAAACUAUUUUUAGAAAAAGUAUUACAAUUAAACAUAUUUUAAAUAGGAGCCUUCUAUGCUAUGAAAGCUGUUCUUUCCUAUCAUCAUGCGAGGAUGAAAACUGAAAAAAAACUACCAUCAGCUGAUUUCAUGCUUGUCAUACCUUUCGUUCAAGUUUCAUUGCCAAAUAUUUCUAAAAGAGAACCGGCAACAUCAUCAGUUGCCGCUUUACUGGUCGAAGAAUAUUUAACUUUUAUGGAAUCGAGGCCAAAUUUUAUGAUGCAUGCAGCUCAGAAACAGAGUCAAGAAGGUCUGGCAGCGGUAGCGGUCAAGGUAGGAAAACAUCUGAAAAAAGAAGCUAACGAAUUAGUCGAACCGAUUGUAAUGACAAGUUAUGAAAAUAAAGAGAAAAUUUUAGAAUCUGACAAGGGACAGGAAGAGGCGUUUAAAAAAGCUUUAAUGGAAUUGAUUCAUCCUUUAUUACGUACUUUAUUUGUUGGUUAUCUAAGAAUGGAUACCCUUCUAUUUUGUUGGGAUCAAGUUAUAAUUGGCAGGGAUGUUGCCGAAUGGAUGUCAGAAAUUGUACCCGCUCUCAUAGCCGUCUUCUUUCACAUCUUAAGAAAACAAUUAAAAAAUAAAUCAACGGUAGAAGAAUGGCACAAGUCAUUAAAGGAAGAAGGACAAAAGCUAACUGCAAGUCAAUUUCAAUACGAGAUAAAUAGAUACUUUAUAGAAGAUUUAAGAAAGAUAUUAAAUCAAGAAGAUAGAGCAGCAAUGCCAGUUCUAGAUCCAACUUAUACACCAUAUCCUGCUUGGAAACACUGGCACGAUGAUCCGGUACCACCAAGAAUUGGACCAGUUCAACGUCGAACAAAUAGAAAUGCACGCCAACUGGAACGCGAGAAAGAGGCUAAGGAAAAAGAAUUAAUAGAGGAAAGAAAACGUAGAAUUCUUGAGGAGGAAAAAUUAAAAGAAGAAGAAAGAUUUAAUAGGGAAUUAGCUAGGGAUAGGCGGAGGGAAGAAGAAGCAAGAAUAAAAUUAGAAGAUGAAUUAGAAGAGGAAAAGAAAAGAAGACGAUAUAUAGAGGAUGAAUUAAACAAGCUAAGAAAUGAAUUGGAUAAUUCUAAAGCUGCAAGGAAAAAGCUCUCACCAGAGGAUGUAAACAAUUAUCUGGUUCCACCCGCACCUCCUGCAGCUAGGAGUAUGAGUGUUCAGGCAGACUUACCAACUCAUACACCAACCCCUGAUAAGCCAACUAGACAACAAGCUCAACAAGUUAUGAGAGACUUACUUUGCAAAGUUGUACUAUCAUUUACAAGAGUCAAUCAUAGUACUGGUCAAGAAUUGAAGAAGUUGAACGAGGAUACGGUAUCCAUCAUUAAACAACAUAAAAGAGAUUCACAGGCUGCUGAGCCUUCAGAGCCUUCAGAGCCAAGAGAGGAACAAUGAUGAAAAGGAUUAUAUUUAUUUUCUUUUUUUUCCCUCUAAAAAUACAAGUCUUUGGUAGGAAACUGGCCCCUGGUGAAUUGGAAACGAUGACACCAGACCACAGGGAUCGCGCUUGCCACGCUAUGAUGGAAAUUAUAAGAAGAGGUCUCGUUAGAAGAAGACAACAAGAAUUAGCCGCCCAACAACCUUCUUACUUUUAAAAUAUCCUCUUAAAAACCGUCCAUUUUAUUUUUUGAUCAUGGUAUUUCAACUUUAUGAUGUUAUAUUAGUAAAAAAAAUACUUAAAAAUGUAUACAAUACAUAUACAAUACGAAUCAUAAAAU